RNAcentral lists this ribosomal RNA (468 nucleotides) under uncultured bacterium. RNAcentral's name for it is "partial 16S ribosomal RNA". It matches the Rfam family "Bacterial small subunit ribosomal RNA", at positions 28 to 507 of the family's 1533-position model. The record is from RNAcentral.
GACGAACGCUGGCGGCGUGCUUAACACAUGCAAGUCGAACGGAUAGGCCCUGCUUUUGUCGGGUGCUCGCGUCGCGAACGUGAGAGUAACACGGGAGUAACCUUCCCAUUACUUUGUGACAACCUCAGGAAACUGGUGCUAAUACCGGAUACGAGCUCCUGCUGCUUGGUGGGGGUUGGAACGUAUAGGUGGGUGUGGGUGGACUCGCGGGUUAUUAGCUUGUUGGGGGGGUACUGGCUUACCGAGGGUUUGACGGGUAGCCGGCCUGGGUGGGUGACCGGGCACAUUGGUACUGCGAGAGGGACCAGUCGGCAACGUGAGGCAGCAGGGGGGAACAUUGCCCAGUGGGCGGAAGCGUGUGGAAGCGGCGCCCCGUGCGGAAUGACGGCCUUCGGGUUGUAAACCGCUUUCGCUUGUGACGAAGCGGGUGUGACGGUAAUAGGUAAAGAAGCACCGGCUAACUACGUG